CUACGUGCCAGCAGCCGCGGUAAUACGUAGGGUGCGAGCGUUAAUCGGAAUUACUGGGCGUAAAGCGAGCGCAGACGGUUACUUAAGCAGGAUGUGAAAUCCCCGGGCUCAACCUGGGAACUGCGUUCUGAACUGGGUGACUAGAGUGUGUCAGAGGGAGGUAGAAUUCCACGUGUAGCAGUGAAAUGCGUAGAGAUGUGGAGGAAUACCGAUGGCGAAGGCAGCCUCCUGGGAUAACACUGACGUUCAUGCUCGAAAGCGUGGGUAGCAAACAGGAUUAGAUACCCUGGUAGUCCACGCCCUAAACGAUGUCAAUUAGCUGUUGGGCAACUUGAUUGCUUAGUAGCGUAGCUAACGCGUGAAAUUGACCGCCUGGGGAGUACGGUCGCAAGAUUAAAACUCAAAGGAAUUGACGGGGGCCCGCACAAGCGGAGGAACAUGUGGUUUAAUUCGAUGCAACGCGAAGAACCUUACCUACUCUUGACAUCCAGA
This 492-nucleotide ribosomal RNA is filed under the name uncultured bacterium. Its description in RNAcentral is "bacterial SSU rRNA". It matches the Rfam family "Bacterial small subunit ribosomal RNA", at positions 501 to 992 of the family's 1533-position model. The record is from RNAcentral.